RNAcentral lists this ribosomal RNA (406 nucleotides) under uncultured bacterium. RNAcentral's name for it is "partial 16S ribosomal RNA". It matches the Rfam family "Bacterial small subunit ribosomal RNA", at positions 30 to 526 of the family's 1533-position model. The record is from RNAcentral.
AUUGAACGCUGGCGGCAGGCUUAACACAUGCAAGUCGAACGAGUGGCGGACGGGUGAGUAAUGUCUGGGCAACUGCCUGAUGGAGGGGGAUAACUACUGGAAACGGUAGAUAAUACCGCAUACCAUCCGAUGUUCCCAGAUGGGAUUAGCUAGUAGGUGGGGUAAUGGCUCACCUAGGCGACGAUCCCUAGCUGGUCUGAGAGGAGGACCAGCCACACUGGAACUGAGACACGGUCCAGACUCCUACGGGGGGCAGCAGUGGGGAAUAUUGCACAAGGGGCGCAAGCCUGAUGCAGCCAUGCCGCGUGUGUGAAGAAGGCCUUCGGGUUGUAAAGUACUUUCAGCGGGGAGGCGUUACCCGCAGAAGAAGCACCGGCUAACUCCGUGCCAGCAGCCGCGGUAAUUC